ACUCCUACGGGAGGCAGCAGUGGGGAAUAUUGCACAAUGGGGGAAACCCUGAUGCAGCCAUGCCGCGUGUGUGAAGAAGGCCUUCGGGUUGUAAAGCACUUUCAGUAGGGAGGAAGGUAGUGUAGUUAACACCUGCAUCUUAUUUGACGUUACCUACAGAAGAAGCACCGGCUAACUCCGUGCCAGCAGCCGCGGUAAUACGGAGGGUGCGAGCGUUAAUCGGAAUUACUGGGCGUAAAGCGCAUGCAGGCGGCCUGUUAAGUCAGAUGUGAAAGCCCGGGGCUUAACCUCGGAAUUGCAUUUGAAACUGG
RNAcentral lists this ribosomal RNA (311 nucleotides) under uncultured bacterium. Its description in RNAcentral is "bacterial SSU rRNA". It matches the Rfam family "Bacterial small subunit ribosomal RNA", at positions 335 to 636 of the family's 1533-position model. The record is from RNAcentral.